GGAUACUUGAAGAAAGCUCUGACAGUUUUCUCUCUUCCACGUGAAACACUCUUAGUUCAUUUAGCUAAUCUUCAUACGAUAGAAUGAAGAAGCAGUGCUAGUAGUAGAGGACGCUUGGGAAGACUUGGUGUGGGGCCUCAGUUUAAUCCUGAAACUUCCAAAGGAGUGAUGGAGGGCACUAGUAGUCCCAGAUGGAACUUCCCUUCACUUUGAUGUUGCUUAACCCAAACAGCAGGUCUACUGGAUUUUGUGCUGUCUAUAAGUGAGUGCACAUUCCAUGUGUCAAUGAUGGGAGGCUGCCUGGAGAUAUCAAGAUAUAUUUUAACCCAAAACACAUGGAUUUACAAGGUGCUUUUAGAAUUAUUUUAAAUGAUUCCCAAAGGAUAUAAAAUCAGCCUUUGAAAACCAUGCAUUUUUGGAGAAAAUAUAAACUGACCCGCCCUCCAUUGGCAGAAGAAUCCUGUGAUGAACAUCACAAGCACUGUACAUGCUGGGACAUCACCAGACUAGAAAGGUGGAAGGUCUGAAUUUUAUGACCUGAAUAAAGAGGAAAAAAUAAGUAUUAAGUUAUAGCUCUUACCUUUCAGCCUAGUCAGCAUAUCUUUUA
Molecule: long non-coding RNA, 607 nt
Organism: Vombatus ursinus (common wombat)
Lineage: Eukaryota; Metazoa; Chordata; Mammalia; Diprotodontia; Vombatidae
Exons: 4
Source: RefSeq, a predicted model, not a curated record